GCCGUCGUGGCGCAACAUGGCAGACGCGCUAAGCUCAGAACUUAGAUGAUGUGGGUUCGAAUCCCGCCGGCGGCA
Molecule: transfer RNA, 75 nt
Filed under: Chloracidobacterium sp.
Lineage: Bacteria; Pseudomonadati; Acidobacteriota; Blastocatellia; Chloracidobacteriales; Chloracidobacteriaceae
Description: tRNA-Leu
Rfam family: tRNA
About the family: Transfer RNA (tRNA) molecules are approximately 80 nucleotides in length.
Source: RNAcentral